GUGGGGAAUCUUCCGCAAUGGACGAAAGUCUGACGGAGCAACGCCGCGUGAGUGAAGAAGGUUUUCGGAUCGUAAAGCUCUUUCGUUAGGGACGAACGUGCUCUUUGUGAAUAAUGAGGAGUAAUGACGGUACCUAAAUAAGAAGCCACGGCUAACUACGUGCCAGCAGCCGCGGUAAUACGUAGGUGGCAAGCGUUGUCCGGAAGUAUUGGGCGUAAAGCGCGCGCAGGCGGGAUAUCAAGUCUGUCUUAAAAGUGCGAGGCUCAACCUCGUGAGGGGACAGAAACUGGUAUUCUUGAGUGUCGGAGAGGAAAGUGGAAUUCCAAGUGUAGCGGUGAAAUGCGUAGAGAUUUGGAAGAACACCAGUGGCGAAGGCGACUUUCUGGACGAUGUCUGACGCUGAGGCGCGAAAGCUAGGGGAGCGAACGGGAUUAGAAACCCGGGUAGUCC
This 450-nucleotide ribosomal RNA is filed under the name uncultured bacterium. Its description in RNAcentral is "partial 16S ribosomal RNA". It matches the Rfam family "Bacterial small subunit ribosomal RNA", at positions 354 to 796 of the family's 1533-position model. The record is from RNAcentral.